GAUGAACGCUAGCGGCAGGCCUAACACAUGCAAGUCGAGGGAGGAGCCUUCGGGCUUCGACCGGCGUACGGGUGCGUAACGCGUAUACAAUCUGCCUUUCACAUAGGGAUAGCCCGAAGAAAUUUGGAUUAAUACCUAAUGGUAUAUAGAUGUGGCAUCACCUUUAUAUUAAAGCUGAGGCGGUGAAAGAUGAGUAUGCGUUCUAUUAGCUAGUUGGAGAGGUAACGGCUCCCCAAGGCGACGAUAGAUAGGGGUUCUGAGAGGGAUAUCCCCCACACUGGUACUGAGAUACGGACCAGACUCCUACGGGAGGCAGCAGUGAGGAAUAUUGGACAAUGGUCGGAAGACUGAUCCAGCCAUGCCGCGUGCAGGAAGACGGCCUUAUGGGCUGUAAACUGCUUUUGCAGGGGAAGAAUAAGGACUACGCGUAGUUUGAUGACGGUACUCUGCGAAUAAGCAUCGGCUAACUCCGUG
RNAcentral lists this ribosomal RNA (474 nucleotides) under uncultured bacterium. Its description in RNAcentral is "partial 16S ribosomal RNA". It matches the Rfam family "Bacterial small subunit ribosomal RNA", at positions 28 to 507 of the family's 1533-position model. The record is from RNAcentral.